Molecule: long non-coding RNA, 539 nt
Organism: Cornus florida
Lineage: Eukaryota; Viridiplantae; Streptophyta; Magnoliopsida; Cornales; Cornaceae
Exons: 2
Source: RefSeq, a predicted model, not a curated record
AGCCAAUAUAAUGUCAUAUUUCUUCUUCUCUACGUAUCAGCCUCUCUCUCAUUCCAAAAGCUCUCUGGGUUUUUUUUUUCUUUUUAUGGUUUCAAGCUUCAAGGCUUAAUUUCUCUCUCAUCUCUUAUCGGAUUAAGGUGCCGUUUGAGGCAAAACGAAGCUCACGUCAAGCUCUACGCAUCCAUACCAGAAAUUCCAGCUUUUAGCCUCUCCUUGGAGUUCGAAAUUCAAGACCCAUUUUAAGGGUUUUGUGCAAAUUUGAGGUCUUGGAAAUGAACUAGUGGACGACAAUCCACCUCAAGCUUGAAAGUUGUUAGAAGGUUGUUUACUAUUUUGUAUUUUGACCGUUCUAUGUAUAUUCGUAGUUGUGGAAAUGUAAUUAAGUUAGUAUUCAUGGCCUUGUAACUUAAGAACGAACUUAUCUUUUGUUUGAUGUAAAUGAAACUAGUGGAAUUAUGGUAUAUGUUUCCAUGCAAUUGUAUCAUGUAACGUUGUAAGACAGGGACUUUAAAUAUUAAUCUUGUAUUUUGGGACUGUAA